GUUCUAAGUCAGUUCAUAUGGUGGUAGCUAGGCUCACUCAGAUAUGUAUUUAUCUUUUUGUGUUACUGCCUCUAACCCCAUCUCACUCUUUGUCUGCUAGUGUCCUGCCUGAAGCCCACAGCCUGUUCUCUGAAGUAUAAGAACCCAGCUGAACCCCGGACCACCACCUGCUCACCUGAGAUCUCAAACUGAUCUUUGCAUCAUCGGGUGGAGGACUUUGGGGAAAAUCAUGAAUCUCUCCUGAGAGAUAAUGACAUGUGCAGUCAUGUACAAAAUGCUAUGCUGAUUUAAUAUUUAUAAUAAUAAAUGGAUUUCAUAAUGCUU
Long non-coding RNA from Oreochromis niloticus (Nile tilapia), 324 nucleotides. RefSeq lists it as uncharacterized. Lineage: Eukaryota; Metazoa; Chordata; Actinopteri; Cichliformes; Cichlidae. The transcript has 3 exons. The record is from RefSeq and is a predicted model, not a curated record.